GACUGAAAGCUAUGUUUUUCGAAAGUUUUUCAGAAGUUAAACCUUUAUGUGACUCUGACUGGUGAAUCCCGAAAUUCAUCAUGAUGCCAGCAUGAAUAUUUUAAUGAUGUAUAUCCAUUAACCUGAUUUUAAAAUCCAAUUAGUCGUUAGUCACACUGUGGAAUAAUAAUGAACUGCGGUCUGUUGUGACAAAUUUCCACUGUGACCCUGUGACAGCUUGUCAAUUUACAACUGAUUUCACAUCUGAAGAGACAAAAUUAAUGGAAAUAAAAAAGUGAAAAUUAUGCAUACUUACUUUGUAUUAACAAUGUAAUUCCAGCCUGGUGAUUCAGUUAUACAAUCCCCUGUAAUAUUUGAGAUAUUCGACAAAGAGCAUAUUAUCAUGAACUCUUUUUGUAUAAGCAUGUAUUCUGUUCAAAAAGGAGACUGCCCAUAUAGGCAAAAUGUUUAAUCAUGUUCCUAACUUUGGGGGGUGGGGGCCCUGAAGAAGCAUAUAACAGUAUUAGCGAGCUUUUGUUAUUAGUACAAGUGAAAUUGAAUCCUUUUCCCAGGAAUUUCAAAGAUAUAAUUGGGACAGUUAAACAAAGACAGUGACUACAUUUUUAACUGGAAGGAGCUGAAUAACAUUAGGUCCUGAAUGAGACAUUGUUAGAUAGUUGAUGCAGUGCCAGUAAUAUAAAUUGUUCUAUUUCAAUAUUUAUUAAUAAUUUCAGAAGUGUCAUACAUUGACAGAGCUUAUAAUAUCUACCCAAGAACACAUGGACUUGUGUAAUAAUGAAACUAUAAAAUGCUAUAGAUUCCAUUUAUAAUGGAAAAAUGAAGACAUUCAAAAUUUACCACCUCUGAAACCUCGAAGCAUAACUUUAGAAAUCACACAUUUUUAUACUUCUUUAUUUAACAUACACAGUUGUUCAAAAGUUUAGCUAUUAUAAUAUGCCAUGCUUCUGCCUUUUCAGUAUGAACCAUAAUGCCAACAUUAGUCUGUUUUGACCAUAAGUGUGCUAGUAAAAUUUUUAAUACUUGGAAUUCCAGCAUUAUAUAUGUCAUAUAUAAGCUCAUACUGUCUAAUAUUCAAAAGUAAGAGAUUCCUAUAUGUACUACAUACAGUAUAAAGCAUAUAUAUCGAGCGUAUGUACAUAGAUAUACUGUAGAUUGCAGCUUCUCAGUGAAUAUGAAAUGAACACUUCAACAAGAAAUGCUGAAAUGGUCAUUAUUAACUUUAUGCAUUUAAUAUGAAAUAAGCAUACAAAUAAACACAAUAAGAAUUGUUUUAAAAUAGUGGUUGCUCCAAUAUAUACACAACUGAGGAAAACAGUAUAGUUGGGAUGUCAUGAUUAACUGCUGUAUGGAACAAUUGAAAUAGGAACAAAAAAUAAAAUAAGGAUGUCAUAAGGUUCUCCAACCCUAGCUUUAGCCGUCCUGGUGACAUCCAGCUGAAACAGUGCAAUGUGUUGGUGUAAACCCUGCUGCUCUGUGUGGGAAUGCCCCUCAAAUAUAAUGGAUAAAUGUAAUACCUCGUUUUCCUUAAAACAUCAUUCAAAGCAGUUACAGUAGAUAUAUACCUGAGUGGACAAAGCACCUGUGUUCCUGUAUGCACAGCGAUAUAUUGUGAAGUUGACGUUUGCAGUUAGUCACUUGGUGAAAUCAUUCUCGCAAAUAAGAAAUCAGCUGCAGUUUAUUUUCAUUAUGACUCACUUUACAUCUGAUUUCGCAUCCAAAAGUCUCUUACAACAAAAUUACUCUUAAAACAAUCCAGUAUAUCAAUAAUUGUUGAAUCCCAACCUGAUGAAAUUGGCACUGCCCCAAAACGUAUUUGGUCCUUUUUUUCAUUCCACACAACGCCUCCUUCACUUCAAUUCUUGCAUCCGAUGCCAACAACAGUUGCCUAGCAACUCUAUAUUUGCCUGGACAAAUCCUACUCCAGUAUUUAUUUUUGAUGCACAACAAGACCCCUGCUUGUGAAUUUGCACAGAAACUGUUUCUAAGAACAAACAUAAAAAAACACUGCAGGAAACCUGUGUGUGUGUGUGUGUGUGUGUGUGUGUGUGUGUGUGUGUGUGUGUGUGUCUAUUUGUUUGCAUGUGGGGGGUGGGGGAAUGUCAUUAGAAGUGGGUCAUCCGCGUUCUACUAAACCACAGACAGAGACACAUCCUUGUCUCAAGAAAUAAGGGCACAAGUUCCAAGGGGCAAGGCUUUAUUCACAAAAGGGGUAUGGUGCCCCAUUUGAGAGAGUCACCUUGGACACCUCCCUCAUUAGCUGGGGGGCAGGUGUGAAGCCCCAAUUUGAGAGCAGAGCACAUCAACCAACUGAGACUGAGGGUGGUCGACUGAGCGUGGUCGACUGAGGGUGGUCGAGCCCUCAAAUUCCCAUUACCAACUCUGAGACACCGCCAUGCACUUGUUAGGUUUACUCAACGUCAUCACAGUCUAAUACCUCAAUCAACAUGGUGGCACAAGGUCAGAUUGUGCUCUCAGCGUUGCAUGGAAUCUCUUCAAUGGUUAGCCUUAUGGGAAGCAACUUGCUAUGAUGCACUGUCAAGACAGAGAAUAUGCCUUGGAGAGUGCCGUCUCUACCAGAAGUUGUGUCCUAGAUCUGGAAAAAGUUGGGCAAAGCAAACAUGAACCUCUUUGCUAAUGAGCUUGACUUACUGUUCACUGUUGUUCACACUAGGUCAGGAUACACUGGCUCAUGACUGGCAUCAUUGUCUACUGUAAGCAUUUCUGCCUAUAUUGCUUAUUGUACCCACUUCACACAGAAUCCAUUGAUUAACACAGAGUCCUGCUUGCUCUCACUAGUGGGUAGGAUGCCUUGGGAUGCCAAGUGGACUUAUUUUGCAUGCUUAGCCAGGAAACCUGUGUCAGUGGGAUUUGGUCCCAUUGAGUGAAAUGCAGGUUGAGGACUCAUACGUCCAAAAGACACUCCUGAAUGCAAGUACACAAGUGGUCUCAGGUGGAAACUGUUUCAAAAAUGUUGUGUGCUAUAUCAUCUGGAUCCAGUGCACUACAAUGUUCCUACAUCAGACUUCCUACACAGACUGUUAGACAGUGGACUAGCUUAUCUGAAGGGAGCAAGGCACCUUUGUCUGCCAUGCUCCCUCAAGAGCCUGACAUGGGAUCACCAUUGUACUCUAAAGGCUGUUUUUUUUUGCUAUCAAUCACUUCAGCAAAUAGAUUGGGAGAACUACACGCUUGUCAAUAAGCUCACCCUGCAUGCAUCUGUGGCCAGAUGAUUCCAGAGUGAACCCCGGGUUUUUGCCCAACAUUAUAUGUCAUACAUCAAGUUUGUGGCCACCUGACCAUCACACCCAUAUGUGGGCCAUCACCAAACUGUUGGACGCACACAAUUGUGAAAAAAUGUCUUUGUAUGCUGUAGCAUUACAAUUUCCCUUCACUGGAACUGUUCCAGCAUGACUAUACCUAUGUGCAGAAAGUGAGCUCUAUGAAGUCAUGGUAUACCAAGGCUGGAGGUGAAGAACUUGAGUGCCCUGAUCUCAACCCCACUGAACACCUUUUGAGAUGAACUGGAACACUGGCUGCAUCCCAAGCCCCCUCGAACAACAUCAGUGUUUAACCUCACCUGCGGCUGAAUGGUCAAAAUCUAGUGGAAAGCGUUCCCAGAAAAGUCGAGGUUAUUAUAACAGCAAAGAGGGGCCUUAAGUUGGAAUGGGACGUUCAAAAACCACAUCUGGGUGUGACGGACAGGUGUCGACAAACCUUCGGUCAUACAGGGUAGCCCGCAUUUUUGUUAACCAAUCUAUUGACCUUUACGCAUUCCAUGAUGGGGAGCCUGCUGAGUGUUCCUUUCUAUGCCCAGUAGGCACUCUACAGUACCAGACAGUGGCGAUUCAAUCAUCAGAUCAAUCAUUCAUUUGUCAUGGAGGAAAGACACAGGAAGCGCAUCUGUCUACACAUAGAUAGGAUCACUGGCCG
Ictalurus punctatus (channel catfish) is the source of this 3930-nucleotide long non-coding RNA. Lineage: Eukaryota; Metazoa; Chordata; Actinopteri; Siluriformes; Ictaluridae. The record is from Ensembl.